GCCUUGGCCGGGCGGUCCUGCCGGUUUUGGUCGGUACUGUCUGGCCGGGGUUCACCUUCUGGCGAGACGGCAUGCUCUUCGCUGGGUGUGCCGGGGAACCAGGACUUUUACUUUGAAAAAAUUAGAGUGUUCAAAGCAGGCUUCAGCUCGAAUACAUUAGCAUGGAAUAAUGGAAUAGGACUUUGGUUCUAUUUUGUUGGUUUCUAGGACCGAGGUA
RNAcentral lists this ribosomal RNA (217 nucleotides) under uncultured fungus. Its description in RNAcentral is "partial small subunit ribosomal RNA". The stretch from base 94 to 217 matches the Rfam family "Eukaryotic small subunit ribosomal RNA", at positions 738 to 864 of the family's 1831-position model. Lineage: Eukaryota; Fungi. The record is from RNAcentral.